This 231-nucleotide long non-coding RNA is filed under the name Mytilus galloprovincialis (Mediterranean mussel). The record is from RNAcentral. Lineage: Eukaryota; Metazoa; Mollusca; Bivalvia; Mytilida; Mytilidae.
GUGGGUUUGGUAUUUUUUCGAUUGUGUAUGGAACUUUGUUGGUAUUAAACAAUCAUCAUCAUUUUCGUCAUGCUUAAUCUUUCAGUUUCGAAAUUUUUCAAGUUUUUCAAGUUGUUAUUUUGUUUAACAUAAUAUUGUAUAAUUUUAUAAUGCUUAUUAGGUCUUUCCACUUUUCUGUUGUUUUUAAUAUUGUUUUUCUUCUGAUUAUUUUUUUUUUCCUCCGCCUAAUUU